This 2926-nucleotide ribosomal RNA is filed under the name Enterobacter cloacae. RNAcentral describes it as "bacterial LSU rRNA". It matches the Rfam family "Bacterial large subunit ribosomal RNA". RNAcentral also lists the same sequence under 2 other names. The record is from RNAcentral. Lineage: Bacteria; Pseudomonadati; Pseudomonadota; Gammaproteobacteria; Enterobacterales; Enterobacteriaceae.
GGGUUGUGAGGUUAAGCGACUAAGCGUACACGGUGGAUGCCCUGGCAGUCAGAGGCGAUGAAGGACGUGCUAAUCUGCGAAAAGCGCCGGCGAGGUGAUAUGAACCCUUGACCCGGCGAUGUCCGAAUGGGGAAACCCAGUGUGAUUCGUCACACUAUCGUUAACUGAAUACAUAGGUUAACGAGGCGAACCGGGGGAACUGAAACAUCUAAGUACCCCGAGGAAAAGAAAUCAACCGAGAUUCCCCCAGUAGCGGCGAGCGAACGGGGAGCAGCCCGGAGUCUGAAUCAGCUUGUGUGUUAGUGGAACGGUCUGGAAAGUCCGACGGUACAGGGUGAUAGUCCCGUACACGAAAGCACACUUGCUGUGAACUCGAAGAGUAGGGCGGGACACGUGGUAUCCUGUCUGAAUAUGGGGGGACCAUCCUCCAAGGCUAAAUACUCCUGACUGACCGAUAGUGAACCAGUACCGUGAGGGAAAGGCGAAAAGAACCCCGGCGAGGGGAGUGAAAAAGAACCUGAAACCGUGUACGUACAAGCAGUGGGAGCACCUUCGUGGUGUGACUGCGUACCUUUUGUAUAAUGGGUCAGCGACUUAUAUUCUGUAGCAAGGUUAACCGUAUAGGGGAGCCGAAGGGAAACCGAGUCUUAACUGGGCGUUAAGUUGCAGGGUAUAGACCCGAAACCCGGUGAUCUAGCCAUGGGCAGGUUGAAGGUUGGGUAACACUAACUGGAGGACCGAACCGACUAAUGUUGAAAAAUUAGCGGAUGACCUGUGGCUGGGGGUGAAAGGCCAAUCAAACCGGGAGAUAGCUGGUUCUCCCCGAAAGCUAUUUAGGUAGCGCCUCGUGAACUCAUCUUCGGGGGUAGAGCACUGUUUCGGCUAGGGGGCCAUCCCGGCUUACCAACCCGAUGCAAACUACGAAUACCGAAGAAUGUUAUCACGGGAGACACACGGCGGGUGCUAACGUCCGUCGUGAAGAGGGAAACAACCCAGACCGCCAGCUAAGGUCCCAAAGUCAUGGUUAAGUGGGAAACGAUGUGGGAAGGCACAGACAGCCAGGAUGUUGGCUUAGAAGCAGCCAUCAUUUAAAGAAAGCGUAAUAGCUCACUGGUCGAGUCGGCCUGCGCGGAAGAUGUAACGGGGCUAAACCAUGCACCGAAGCUGCGGCAGCGACACUAUGUGUUGUUGGGUAGGGGAGCGUUCUGUAAGCCGUUGAAGGUGUGCUGUGAGGCAUGCUGGAGGUAUCAGAAGUGCGAAUGCUGACAUAAGUAACGAUAAAGCGGGUGAAAAGCCCGCUCGCCGGAAGACCAAGGGUUCCUGUCCAACGUUAAUCGGGGCAGGGUGAGUCGACCCCUAAGGCGAGGCCGAAAGGCGUAGUCGAUGGGAAACAGGUUAAUAUUCCUGUACUUGGUGUUACUGCGAAGGGGGGACGGAGAAGGCUAUGUCAGCCGGGCGACGGUUGUCCCGGUUUAAGCAUGUAGGCGGAGGUUCCAGGUAAAUCCGGUACCUUAUUAACGCUGAGGUGUGAUGACGAGGCACUACGGUGCUGAAGUGAUAAAUGCCCUGCUUCCAGGAAAAGCCUCUAAGCAUCAGGUAACACGAAAUCGUACCCCAAACCGACACAGGUGGUCAGGUAGAGAAUACCAAGGCGCUUGAGAGAACUCGGGUGAAGGAACUAGGCAAAAUGGUGCCGUAACUUCGGGAGAAGGCACGCUGAUGUGUAGGUGAAGUCCCUGCGGACGGAGCUGAAAUCAGUCGAAGAUACCAGCUGGCUGCAACUGUUUAUUAAAAACACAGCACUGUGCAAACACGAAAGUGGACGUAUACGGUGUGACGCCUGCCCGGUGCCGGAAGGUUAAUUGAUGGGGUUAGCUGUAAGGCGAAGCUCUUGAUCGAAGCCCCGGUAAACGGCGGCCGUAACUAUAACGGUCCUAAGGUAGCGAAAUUCCUUGUCGGGUAAGUUCCGACCUGCACGAAUGGCGUAAUGAUGGCCAGGCUGUCUCCACCCGAGACUCAGUGAAAUUGAACUCGCUGUGAAGAUGCAGUGUACCCGCGGCAAGACGGAAAGACCCCGUGAACCUUUACUAUAGCUUGACACUGAACACUGGUCCUUGAUGUGUAGGAUAGGUGGGAGGCUUUGAAGCGUGGACGCCAGUCUGCGUGGAGCCGUCCUUGAAAUACCACCCUUUAAUGGCUGGUGUUCUAACGUAGACCCGUAAUCCGGGUUGCGGACAGUGUCUGGUGGGUAGUUUGACUGGGGCGGUCUCCUCCCAAAGAGUAACGGAGGAGCACGAAGGUUGGCUAAUCCUGGUCGGACAUCAGGAGGUUAGUGCAAUGGCAUAAGCCAGCUUGACUGCGAGCGUGACGGCGCGAGCAGGUGCGAAAGCAGGUCAUAGUGAUCCGGUGGUUCUGAAUGGAAGGGCCAUCGCUCAACGGAUAAAAGGUACUCCGGGGAUAACAGGCUGAUACCGCCCAAGAGUUCAUAUCGACGGCGGUGUUUGGCACCUCGAUGUCGGCUCAUCACAUCCUGGGGCUGAAGUAGGUCCCAAGGGUAUGGCUGUUCGCCAUUUAAAGUGGUACGCGAGCUGGGUUUAGAACGUCGUGAGACAGUUCGGUCCCUAUCUGCCGUGGGCGCUGGAGAAUUGAGGGGGGCUGCUCCUAGUACGAGAGGACCGGAGUGGACGCAUCACUGGUGUUCGGGUUGUCAUGCCAAUGGCACUGCCCGGUAGCUAAAUGCGGAAGAGAUAAGUGCUGAAAGCAUCUAAGCACGAAACUUGCCCCGAGAUGAGUUCUCCCUGAGACUUUAAGUCUCCUGAAGGAACGUUAAAGACGAUGACGUUGAUAGGUCGGGUGUGUAAGCGCAGCGAUGCGUUGAGCUAACCGAUACUAAUGAACCGUGAGGCUUAACCUUACAACGCCGAAG